RNAcentral lists this transfer RNA (82 nucleotides) under Ixodes scapularis (black-legged tick). It matches the Rfam family "tRNA". From Rfam's summary of the family: Transfer RNA (tRNA) molecules are approximately 80 nucleotides in length. Their secondary structure includes four short double-helical elements and three loops (D, anti-codon, and T loops). The record is from Rfam by way of RNAcentral. Lineage: Eukaryota; Metazoa; Arthropoda; Arachnida; Ixodida; Ixodidae.
GCAGUCGUGGCCGAGUGGUUAAGGCGAUAUGCUAGAAAUCCACUGGGAUCCUCCCGCACAGGUUUGAAUCCUGUUGACUGCG